GCGAUUCGGCAUGGUCUGAUAUAUUUGUUUUCUUGUUAUUGGUUUUCGUGUACUAUGUGUUUAUUUUCUUGAAGUAUCAUUUUGUUGUUGUAAGUUUUUGAUUCAAUUUUUUUGCGAUAGUUUACUUGUACUGUGAGGGGUUGUUGAUUUAUUUUUAAUAGUUGAUUUUGUUUGUCGUACCUUGUGUAUCAGGGUUUAUUGAAUUUUAUUAUUUAUUUUUAUUUCCCGAUUUUAAGGGAGUUAAUGGUUUAUGCUAGUUAUUGUUUUAUCAAUAUUAGUAAUAGGUUGUUGGUAGUGAGAUGCUAUUCGUCUUUAGAGGUUUCUGGUUUUCUGAGAAAUGAAUUUAAUUCAUGCGCUUUGUUUAGAUUUUACUGUUAGUUUAUUUUUUUUUAUUUGGCGUUAAGAUUAAGGGGGAUUAGCUCUUUGUUUUAUUUUUAUAAUCUUUUAAGUUUUUAGUUUUGUGGGUUUUAUGGUGAUUUUCAAUUUGAUUAUGUUAAAAUUUUAUUUGCUCUUUUCUUUAUUUUAUUUUUGGUUUAUUGGAAUGGUUUAUUAUCUUUUUAUGUGCAGUAAUUAUUGUGGAAUUAGUAAAUUUUCUGUUUUGUACUGUUUAUGUUUUUGGUGUUAAUUCCUUUUAAGGAAUUAGGCAAAUUUUGUGUCCGCCUGUUUAACAAAAACAUCUUUUCUUGUUAGUUUCUGAAGUAUGGCCUGCCCACUGACAUGAUUAGUUGAAGGGCCGCGGUAUUUUGACCGUGCAAAGGUAGCAUAAUCAUUAGUUCUUUAAUUGUGAUCUGGUAUGAAUGGCUUGACGAGAUGCGUGCUGUCUUAGGUGUAGGAUUGUAGUGUUAUUGAACUUGGUUUCUGAGUUAAAAUUCUUAGAUGUUUUUAUGGGACGAGAAGACCCUAUAGAGUUUAACAUUAGGUGUGUGGCUUGAUUGUGUUUGUUUAGGUUGUUUGUAUAUCUAUUUGUUUCGUUGGGGUGAUGGGAGGAAUGUUUUUAACUCCUCUUUAUGUUUGGUAUGCUUAUUUGUAUUUGUUUUGAUCCAUUUAUUUUGAUUAUAAGAUUAAAUUACCUUAGGGAUAACAGCGUUAUCUUCCUUGAGAGUUCUUAUUGGCGGGAGGGUUUGCGACCUCGAUGUUGGAUUAAGGUUAAUUUUUGGUGUAGGAGCUGAAUUGAUUAGGUCUGUUCGACCUUUAAAAUCUUACAUGAUCUGAGUUCAAACCGGCGUGAGCCAGGUUGGUUUCUAUCUAUAAUAAAUUUUAUGCCUUAGUACGAGAGGACCGGGUAUUUGGAAUAAUUUUGUUUAUUAUUGUGUUUUAUUAAUAGUUGCUAUUUUGGCAGAUAAGUGCAUUGGAUUUAGAAUCUAUUAAUGUAAAGUUUU
RNAcentral lists this ribosomal RNA (1379 nucleotides) under Synacanthotermes sp. TB-2014. RNAcentral describes it as "16S ribosomal RNA". The stretch from base 859 to 1255 matches the Rfam family "Bacterial large subunit ribosomal RNA", at positions 2049 to 2651 of the family's 2925-position model. The record is from RNAcentral. Lineage: Eukaryota; Metazoa; Arthropoda; Insecta; Blattodea; Termitidae.